UGGGGAAUAUUGGGCAAUGGGGGAAACCCUGACCCAGCAACGCCGCGUGAAGGAUGAAGGUCUUCGGAUUGUAAACUUCUUUGAUCAGGGACGAAGAAAUGACGGUACCUGAAGAACAAGCCACGGCUAACUACGUGCCAGCAGCCGCGGUAAUACGUAGGUGGCAAGCGUUAUCCGGAUUUACUGGGUGUAAAGGGCGUGUAGGCGGUUCUGCAAGUCAGAUGUGAAAUUCCCGGGCUUAACCCGGGCGCUGCAUCUGAAACUGCAGAACUUGAGUACUGGAGAGGAUAGUGGAAUUCCUAGUGUAGCGGUAAAAUGCGUAGAUAUUAGGAGGAACACCAGUGGCGAAGGCGGCUAUCUGGACAGUAACUGACGCUGAGGCGCGAAAGCGUGGGGAGCAAACA
This 404-nucleotide ribosomal RNA is filed under the name uncultured bacterium. Its description in RNAcentral is "bacterial SSU rRNA". It matches the Rfam family "Bacterial small subunit ribosomal RNA", at positions 355 to 774 of the family's 1533-position model. The record is from RNAcentral.